RNAcentral lists this ribosomal RNA (421 nucleotides) under uncultured bacterium. Its description in RNAcentral is "bacterial SSU rRNA". It matches the Rfam family "Bacterial small subunit ribosomal RNA", at positions 355 to 774 of the family's 1533-position model. The record is from RNAcentral.
UAAGGAAUAUUGGUCAAUGGACGCAAGUCUGAACCAGCCAUGCCGCGUGAAGGAUGAAGGUCCUCUGGAUUGUAAACUUCUUUUAUCUGGGACGAAAACGGGAUUUUUAUCUCAAUUGACGGUACCAGAGGAAUAAGCACCGGCUAACUCCGUGCCAGCAGCCGCGGUAAUACGGAGGGUGCGAGCGUUAUCCGGAUUUACUGGGUUUAAAGGGUGCGUAGGUGGGCUUAUAAGUCAGUGGUGAAAUCUCCGAGCUUAACUUGGAAACUGACGUUGAUACUAUAGGUCUUGAAUUAUCUGGAGGUAAGCGGAAUAUGUCAUGUAGCGGUGAAAUGCUUAGAUAUGACAUAGAACACCAAUUGCGAAGGCAGCUUACUACAUAUAAAUUGACGCUGAGGCACGAAAGCGUGGGGAUCAAACA